AGCUGAGGCCCUGGCACUGCUGCCCACAGAGGCCGUGGGUGCCCCAGCCCUGCAGGUGCACUCGAUUCAGCUCCCAUUGCAGUGAUUGAAGACGAACAGAGGAAUGUGGCUGAUGACCCUCAAACUCCCGGUGGCAUCGCAGGGCUGCGGUGCUUUGAGCCUGGAAAGCCACCAAACAUCCACCUGCUCGCUGUGUCCCUUCACACAUCCGCCUGUCACAGAAGCACAGGGGCUGGAAGGGACCUCUGCAGAUGACCGCAGCACAACCUCCCCCCAGAGCAGCUCUGCUGCAGCGGUUGCACGGGAGAGUCUGCCUUGCACUGGCGAGCCCAGAACUGACCCAGUGCUCCGCACGAGCCCAGUGCUUUCUGCGGCCCUCCAUAGCCUCCCAGGGCCACCAGUCCUGCCCAAUGCCGCCAGGUCAACACACCCAGUGCUGAGUAUGUGGCCAUCUCCUUCCCCAGGCACAAAUCGAGGCGAUGGGGGCAUUGGCAGCAGCGAUGGUGAUGAAGUCCGUUAGUCAGGAGGAGCUGGAGGAGCUGCAGCUGUAGACCCGUGGCACUACGGGGGAACCUGCAGGGCUGCAGUGUGUGCCCGGCGCCUCUGGUCCUGCUGCUGGGCACCGCUGGGUGCAGCGCGGCUCCGUCCUCUCUGCACCUCCCUGCAGGGACUGAUGGCCGUGCCUGGGAUCCCCCUGAGCCUCCUCUUCUGCAGGCCGAGCCGCCCCAGCUCUCCCGCAAUCCCAGCCCAACCAUUCCCCAUCCCUACGUUCCCACUCAGUGCUGACUGAGGAGGGGAGAGGAUUUUGGAGGGGGCAGCCCUGGGACACAACCCUUUGUGCUGCCCUGCAGUUGGAAAAUGGGGUCUGGUGGUGCUUUGGUGCUGCAGGAACAAAAGGAACAUGCAGGCACAUGCACGCACAUGGAGGUGAAGGAAAGUGGAUACAAAACAUUUAAUAAUUUAAUGCAAUUUAAUGUAAUUUAACAUAAUUCAAAACAGUCGAAGGUGGUGUUGGUGGACAGCCCAG
Molecule: long non-coding RNA, 1027 nt
Filed under: Gallus gallus (chicken)
Lineage: Eukaryota; Metazoa; Chordata; Aves; Galliformes; Phasianidae
Description: lncRNA (ENSGALG00010020923.1)
Source: RNAcentral